GACAGAGGGGGCAAGCGUUGUCCGGAAUUACUGGGCGUACAGCGCGCGCAGGCGGCCGGGUAUGUGCCGUGUGACAGGCGGAGGCUUAACCUCUGACGGCCACGGUAGACAGCCCAGCUGGAGGCAGGGAGAGGGAUGUGGAAUACCCGGUGGAGCGGUGAAAUGCGUAGAGAUCGGGUGGAACACCAGCGGCGCAGGCGGCAUCCUGGCCCUGACCUGACGCUGAGGCGCGAGAGCGUGGGGAGCGAACUGG
Molecule: ribosomal RNA, 253 nt
Filed under: uncultured bacterium
Lineage: Bacteria
Description: partial 16S ribosomal RNA
Rfam family: Bacterial small subunit ribosomal RNA
Source: RNAcentral